This 66-nucleotide transfer RNA is filed under the name uncultured Porphyromonas sp. It matches the Rfam family "tRNA", at positions 5 to 66 of the family's 71-position model. Rfam says of the family: Transfer RNA (tRNA) molecules are approximately 80 nucleotides in length. Lineage: Bacteria; Pseudomonadati; Bacteroidota; Bacteroidia; Bacteroidales; Porphyromonadaceae. The record is from RNAcentral.
CGGGUAGCUCAGCUGGAUAGAGCAUCUGCCUUCUAAGCAGAUGGUCAUGGGUUCGAAUCCCAUCCC